RNAcentral lists this unclassified non-coding RNA (330 nucleotides) under uncultured fungus. RNAcentral's name for it is "partial contains small subunit ribosomal RNA, internal transcribed spacer 1, and 5.8S ribosomal RNA". The stretch from base 1 to 73 matches the Rfam family "Eukaryotic small subunit ribosomal RNA", at positions 1759 to 1831 of the family's 1831-position model. Lineage: Eukaryota; Fungi. The record is from RNAcentral.
UCAAACUUGGUCAUUUAGAGGAAGUAAAAGUCGUAACAAGGUUUCCGUAGGUGAACCUGCGGAAGGAUCAUUAACGUAUCUCUGACGGGGUGUGGUGUGCCCUGCUCCGGCCCAACCGGCCGUGCAGCGGGUGUGCCGCCCCCGUCCACACCUCACAAACCCACUGUGAACCUUCACGGCGGAGGGGCUUCACGGCUCGCGCUGUGAUCCCCGAGGCCGCAUACCAAACUCAUGUUUACAAAGAAUGUUGUGUGGACGCUGUGCCACCUAAAAUGCAUAACAACUUUCAACAACGGAUCUCUUGGCUCUCGCAUCGAUGAAGAACGCAGC